GCUGCCUCGCAGUUGGUCGCCAUUUUGUGCUGCUGCGUUCCUAUUCGCCGCCGGGGCAUUGUGUUUAAUACCGGAGCCAAUCAGAGGGGCAAAAGCGUGGGGUUUUGCUACAUUUUCCAGAGAUACUGUUUACAUAUUCAAGUUAGUAAUGGAACAGUACACAGCGAAUAACAGCAAUUCCACCGAACAGAUCGUAGUUCAGGGACAAAUUCAGCAACAGGGUCAGCCAUUAAUGGUUCAAGUCAGUGGUGGUCAACUAAUCACAUCCACUGGUCAGCCUAUCAUGGUUCAAGCUGUGCCUACAGGUCAAGGACAGACAAUUAUGCAAGUUCCUGUCUCUGGAGGACAGGGUAUACAACAGAUACAGCUCGUUCAACCAAGUCAGCUCCAACUUCAAAGUGGGCAGGCUGUCCAAGUCCAAAACCAACAAGGUCAGGCACAACAAAUUAUUAUUCAACAGCCUCAGGCAGCUGUUACAGCAGGACAGACACAGAUCCAACAGUCGUCGUCAUCACUGCAACAGGGUCAACAGCAAAUAGUGCAAGGACAGCAGGUGGCACAGACUGCAGAAGGACAGACAAUUGUCUAUCAGCCAGUUAAUGCAGAUGGCACCAUACUCCAGCAAGUUGCAGUCCCUGUUACAGGCAUGAUCACCAUUCCUGCUGCCAGUCUAGCUGGGGCCCAAAUUGUCCAGACAGGAGCCAGCACAAGCACCACAAAUAGCAGCCAGGGCACUGUAACGGUAACGCUACCGGUCACUGGAAGUAUGGUCAAUGCAGGCGGUAUGGUGAUGAUGGUACCAGGGGCGAGCACCGUUCCAGCUAUGCAGAGAAUUCCCUUGCCAGGUGCAGAACUAUUGGAAGAAGAACCGCUAUAUGUAAAUGCUAAACAGUAUCAUCGAAUCUUGAAAAGAAGACAGGCAAGAGCCAAACUAGAAGCAGAAGGCAGAAUCCCGAAAGAAAGGAGGAAGUAUCUCCAUGAGUCACGUCAUCGCCAUGCAAUGCAGCGAAAGCGUGGAGAAGGCGGGCGCUUUUUUUCUCCCAAGGAGGGCGAUGAGAUAGUCAUCUCAGUCAGGCUGUGAAAAGGCGUAAGACAGAGAGAAGCCUGAAUGAUUUCUGGGUAGGCUAGAGAAAAAUCAAAAUAAGAAACACCAGCAGCAGAGUGAAGAAAUAAUGGGUCAGGUGAUCAGGGUGGCCUAAAUCUCUGCCUUAUGCAGCUGUUUUGAAGCAAGAACCAAUUAAAAUUGAGUCUCUCCUCAGUCCACUUCCUGCAUUGACUGCCUCUCCUGCAUUCCUGAAACUGAAAUGGAGUUUUAUAAUGAAAGUCUUCUCCAGAGAAAAAUGUCUUUUGUUGCAGAACUUUAAAAUUUAAAUUUAAAAUGUACUGGAGUAUAACGGGGACAAAACAUGCCAAUAGCAAAAGGACCUUGAACAAUUGUAUAGGCCAAAUGGAGGAAAUCAAUUUUAAAACUUUUCAGUUGUGAUGGUAUGUAGUCUACAUUAGUUGGGGAUGGAGAAGGGGAAAUCCAUGAUACUCUGUCCACUUGAAGGUUGGGGGAAGUAUAUCCUGUAAGUUUAUGUUAAUGAAGGACUUUGUGGGGUGGGGGGUGGGAG
Pristis pectinata (smalltooth sawfish) is the source of this 1613-nucleotide RNA transcript. It is a transcript of the gene named nuclear transcription factor Y subunit alpha-like, with no coding region annotated. Lineage: Eukaryota; Metazoa; Chordata; Chondrichthyes; Rhinopristiformes; Pristidae. The transcript has 12 exons. The record is from RefSeq and is a predicted model, not a curated record.